UGUUAAAAAUUUUAUCCAUUGUACUGUUAAAAACUGGCAUGGUUAAUAGAAUAACUAGAUAGUGACAUGUGACAUGCCAUGUGUACCUCAUGCUAAGGGAUCAACUUUUAACUGUAGAAAUGAAUGAAAAUUUUAACG
Molecule: microRNA precursor, 138 nt
Organism: Gossypium arboreum
Lineage: Eukaryota; Viridiplantae; Streptophyta; Magnoliopsida; Malvales; Malvaceae
Rfam family: MIR7502 microRNA precursor family
Source: Rfam